AUUGCCCUGCGGUGUACGUGAUGCCCAUUGUGUUUUGUUCCAACACUUUUUUAAACGGGAGUUCGGCGUCUCUACCGUAGUAAUGCCUGCCUGCUAGUUCAGGACGCAUGAUGCGGAUGAGCAGGACACCCACCUGCGAGAGCAGGAUCAAAACCUCGGGUGACACGGCAGUUGCGGGGCGGAU
Molecule: non-coding RNA, 184 nt
Filed under: Alicyclobacillus tolerans
Lineage: Bacteria; Bacillati; Bacillota; Bacilli; Caryophanales; Alicyclobacillaceae
Also listed under: 1 other name
Description: 6S / SsrS RNA
Rfam family: 6S / SsrS RNA
About the family: E. coli 6S RNA was the first non coding RNA to be sequenced, but its function was unknown until recently. It consists of 184 nucleotides that fold into an extended hairpin structure with a large single-stranded internal bulge.
Source: RNAcentral